GCUUGUAUAAAGUUAUUUUGGGUUAGAAUAUGUUAUAAUACAAGGAAUUUGAUUGAUUACAAUUGCUAGAAAUGCAUGAAGAUUUUUUAGAAGUGAGAAGAAAUACUUGUUGAAAUUUGGCCUCAAAUGGAAUAAGAACCCAAAACCAUUGCUUUGAGACAGUGAAUGGCUUGUAUAAAGUUAUUUUGGGUUAGAAUAUGUUAUAAUAAAAUGAAUUUGAUUGAUUACAAGUGCUAGCGAUGCAUGAAGAAUGUUUAGA
This 259-nucleotide long non-coding RNA is filed under the name Capsella rubella. RNAcentral's name for it is "long non-coding RNA (CRUB_LNC000169)". The record is from RNAcentral. Lineage: Eukaryota; Viridiplantae; Streptophyta; Magnoliopsida; Brassicales; Brassicaceae.